Long non-coding RNA from Balaenoptera musculus (blue whale), 889 nucleotides. RefSeq lists it as uncharacterized. NCBI's taxonomy places the organism in Eukaryota, Metazoa, Chordata, Mammalia, Artiodactyla, Balaenopteridae. The record is from RefSeq and is a predicted model, not a curated record. The transcript is spliced from 3 exons.
GGAAGAGUCAGUGCCCCUCCUACCACUGGGGAAUGAGUGGCCCUGUGCCUCAUUCCCACCAAGGGUCCCAGUUUCAGGAGUUUGUUGAGCUUUUAUUUUGCUGCUUUAGUGGAUGAGAAAUGACACAUAACCCAUUGUCUUCUUUUCACUUCUCUUCUGAUGAUUGAGGCUGGAGUUUCAUCACUUUCAUUUAUUUCCAGAAUGCAGCCACUUUUCCCAGUUCUGGGGGAGACCACUGAACAUGCCUUCCUGGGUGUUCCCAGCCACAGACUGUGAUCCACAUCCAGCGAGGAAACUCCACUCUUUGUGCAACUACUAUGUAGCUAGUGACUGGCUUCUGACCAACAGAAUAUAGCAAAUCAUGGGAGUAACAUUUGUUCACAGUGUAUAUAUUUCUGAAUAUGUAUGAAAAGCACAUGCCAUAUCGGCCCAGAGAAGCCAUUGACGGGGCUUUAGAAAUCAGUGACCUUUGAGGACGUGUUUGUAGAACUCACUCAUGAAGAGUGGGACCUGCUGGGCACAUUGCAGAGAAAGAUGUACACAGAUGUGAUGCUGGAGGACGUGCAUUGUCUCAUCUUCUGGAAAUGUUGCAGGCCAGAAGAGAGUGAAACGAUAUGUUUAAAGUACUGGGGGAAACUACCUAACAACAAUUCUAUAUCUUACAAUAUUAUUCUUCAAAAAUGAGGAAAAUGAAAGACAGUCUCAGACAAAAGCUGAAGGAGUUCAGUACCAUAAUACCUACCCUUCAAGAAAUGCUAAAGGGAGUACUUCAAGUUCAAAUGGAAGGACACCAGUAACUUGAGGCCAUAUGAAAAUAUAAAUUUAUCUGAUAAAGGUAAAUAAAUGGACAAAUAGGAAAAAAAAGCUAUAAUUUUGACUUGUAACUACA